This 660-nucleotide ribosomal RNA is filed under the name uncultured bacterium. Its description in RNAcentral is "bacterial SSU rRNA". It matches the Rfam family "Bacterial small subunit ribosomal RNA", at positions 94 to 788 of the family's 1533-position model. The record is from RNAcentral.
AGUGGCGGACGGGUGAGUAACGCGUGAGAAUCUGCCUUGGGGUCGGGGACAACCACUGGAAACGGUGGCUAAUACCGGAUAAGCCGAUCGGUGAAAGAUUCAUUGCCCGAAGAGGAGCUCGCGUCUGAUUAGCUAGUUGGUGAGGUAAGAGCUCACCAAGGCAGCGAUCAGUAGCUGGUCUGAGAGGACGAUCAGCCACACUGGGACUGAGACACGGCCCAGACUCCUACGGGAGGCAGCAGUGGGGAAUUUUCCGCAAUGGGCGAAAGCCUGACGGAGCAAGACCGCGUGAGGGAGGAAGGCUCUUGGGUUGUAAACCUCUUUUCUCAGGGAAGAAGCUCUGACGGUACCUGAGGAAUCAGCCUCGGCUAACUCCGUGCCAGCAGCCGCGGUAAUACGGAGGAGGCAAGCGUUAUCCGGAAUUAUUGGGCGUAAAGCGUCCGCAGGUGGCGAUUCAAGUCUGCUGUCAAAGCACGGGGCUUAACUCCGUAAAGGCAGUGGAAACUGAAUAGCUAGAGUGCCGUAGGGGUAGAGGGAAUUCCCGGUGUAGCGGUGAAAUGCGUAGAGAUCGGGAAGAACAUCGGUGGCGAAAGCGCUCUACUGGACGGCAACUGACACUCAGGGACGAAAGCUAGGGGAGCGAAUGGGAUUAGAUACCCC